CUGAUGAUGGAGGACAUAGGAAGAAAAUAAGUCUUAGAAUUGUGUUUUUCAAUAAUGAUUGAUAGAAAUCAUUGUGAAUGAGGAUGUGAAUCAGAAUGCAUGUUUACUAAUGAGUAUCAAUCCCUAUAGGAAACCUUCAGGUCAGAGGUCAUGCUGAUGUUUCCACUUAGAGCAGACAGACAGGUCCAGCUGAUCUCUACCUGCUUUGUUACCAGGAAAAUCUUUGACCCUGUCUGGAGAACUGGAGGAGACCUUAAGUUCUUUUCUCAGCAGAUGUCAGACAGCUGCUGCAGCAUUUCAUGCUGAUGUGAGUAUUUUCUUCCUGUUACUUGAGUAUAACGUUUCAACAUGCUAAAAUAAAUGUAUUUUACUUUCCAAUAAGCUCUCUGCAUCAGCACCUCGUCUGAAAUGACAUUCAGUGAACUGUUUAGACUUCAUCACAUCAGUCUCAUCCACAAUCACCGCUCUAGUUCAGACUAAUGUCGGCUGGUUUUGCUUGUGACUGUCCACCAAACCUGUGAUGAACUUCUGAGAGGUGUUUAUGCUUUUCUAGCACUGCGAUCGUCUCCAGUGUUUAAUUUUAAGGUGAAGAACAUCUUCCUCACAGUCUUACUGCGUUUGUGAACACAGACACAUGAAA
This is a long non-coding RNA of Oryzias melastigma (Indian medaka), 640 nucleotides long. RefSeq lists it as uncharacterized. The transcript is spliced from 4 exons. Lineage: Eukaryota; Metazoa; Chordata; Actinopteri; Beloniformes; Adrianichthyidae. The record is from RefSeq and is a predicted model, not a curated record.